GAUGCGGGGGCUGCGCGCCUCCGCCCGCAGACGCUGCUUCUCAGCCGGGCCAAGAUCAACAAAAGCUCGCCUCCAUGUUUUGAUUCUGUCAGAAAGCAGCUUCUGAAUGCCCUAGAGGAAUGCUGAAGUGCUUCCCAGGCACCAUGGUCCAUAUGACUGAUGCUGGAGGGGUGGACAGCCCAGGUUUGCAAAGGCGGCUGCAGCUAGUUCUUAACAAGUCAUCAGGCCCCUGAGAUCCAUGUGGGGCCAAAUCAACAGAGGAGAGCCCUCCAGCUCUCCUGCAAUGACCCUUGUGCACUUGUGCUGGGAGAUCCAACAGUGCACUCUCAGUGGAUCCCACAGGGAAGAAGGCACAGAAUUAUAAAUUACAGAGAUGAUGCUAGGAUGAUACUGAAGCCUCUUCCCCCACCACUGCCGCCACUAGAAACCAGAUCAGAGAAGGACAGGGAGAGAAUCCUAAUCAACCGAGAACUAUCCACCACCACUCCCAAACUGAGUUUUAAGCCAUAAGCGACUGAAUUCUCUUAAUUUAACAAGAUUAAGUUUUCCAUCGCAAGUGGAAGCACGUUCAUUAAAACUGCUGCUACAUUGUGUCUCUGAAGAAAUCCAA
Molecule: non-coding RNA, 610 nt
Organism: Ceratotherium simum simum (southern white rhinoceros)
Lineage: Eukaryota; Metazoa; Chordata; Mammalia; Perissodactyla; Rhinocerotidae
Source: RefSeq, a predicted model, not a curated record